AUGAACGCUGGCGGCGUGCUUAAUACAUGCAAGUCGAACGGAGACAUUAGCAAUAAUGUUUUAGUGGCGAACGGGUGAGUAACGCGUUGGUGACCUGCCCCGAAGAGAGGGAUAACAUUUCGAAAGGAUUGCUAAUACCCCAUGUGGUUGUUGUGAUUAGAUGCCUUACAACUAAACGGAUUUAUUCGCUUCGGGAGGGGCCUGCGUACCAUCAGCUAGUUGGUAGGGUAAUGGCCUACCAAGGCUAUGACGGUUAGGGGACCUGAGAGGGUGGCCCCCCACAAUGGAACUGAAACACGGUCCAUACACCUACGGGUGGCAGCAGUAGGGAAUAUUAGAAAUGGGCGAAAGUCUGAUCUAGCAACACCGCGUGUGCGAAGAAGGCCUUCGGGUCGUAAAGCACUUUUUGGAAGGAAUAGGAAGGAAUGUACUUCCAGAAUAAGUCUCGGCUAACUACGU
RNAcentral lists this ribosomal RNA (459 nucleotides) under uncultured bacterium. RNAcentral's name for it is "bacterial SSU rRNA". It matches the Rfam family "Bacterial small subunit ribosomal RNA", at positions 29 to 506 of the family's 1533-position model. The record is from RNAcentral.